ACUAAGAUAGUUAAAUUAUAACUAGACUCUGAAGAGGUUUAAUUGGAGUGUUAAAUUCCUCCUCUUAGUA
This 70-nucleotide transfer RNA is filed under the name Ophiocten ludwigi. Its description in RNAcentral is "tRNA-Phe". Lineage: Eukaryota; Metazoa; Echinodermata; Ophiuroidea; Amphilepidida; Ophiuridae. The record is from RNAcentral.